Long non-coding RNA from Neopsephotus bourkii (Bourke's parrot), 1146 nucleotides. RefSeq lists it as uncharacterized. The transcript is spliced from 2 exons. The record is from RefSeq and is a predicted model, not a curated record. NCBI's taxonomy places the organism in Eukaryota, Metazoa, Chordata, Aves, Psittaciformes, Psittacidae.
GACCCCCCAGAGCAGCGCGAGAGGGGAGGGCAACAUGGCGACGCGGGGGGGGCCCGGCUGACACGGCGCUGCCCGUUCCCCAUCCCCGGGCGCUCCUCACCGCCGCCGCCGUUCCCCCUCAGCGAGAGGCCGCGGAGCCGCUCCGGCCGCGCGGGGACCGAACGGGGAUGAAGGCUCCGCAGGCUGCGGCGCACCGGCCGCCCCCGACUCCUUCCCGCCCUCCCCGGUCACCUUCCCGCGACCCCGGCGCGGGGGGUGCGUGAGGGAGGAGACCCCCUGAGGGAAGGGUGUCGCGGGCUCCCGCGCAGCGCUUUACCUGGCCGCCUCAGUGCGGGCUCCGCCGUUGCCACCGCCUCCUUUUGGGGAUAUUUUUUUAAUGUUUUUUUUUUCCUUUUUUUUCCUUUUUUUUUUAUAUCUUCUUUCCGCCUCCCCCUCCCCUCCCCCCAGGGGCGGACGGGCUCACCCAGCCGGCGGCGGGAGGGGAGGGCACAAGAUGUCGGCUCCGUCCGCUCCGGCUACCGCCGCCGCCUCAGCGCCACCUCCUCAUGCCGCCGCUGCCGCCGCUCCUGCCCCGUCUGAGCCUUGAGGUGCAGCUGGCUUCCUGAGGUGUGACAAGGUGGAAGGAUAGCGAGAGAGGGACCAGGAGGAACCAGCAAGGCUGAAAUUCUGUUUGCAGCUGAGAUAAGUGGUGAGGUAGGAGCUGCAGAGGCUCCUACACUUACUUUUUAUAGAGCACAGCACAUACUUGGGCAGAUGUAUGCUCCACCUCCCACUCGUAUCGUGCAGAGCGUUGCAUAAUCUGAAUUCAUAGAAUUAACAGAAAUGGGGAAAGAAAAAAAAAAGUGCUAUUUUCCAUCAUUCCCAUCCAACUAUAAAUCAUUUUGUCUCUUCACCUAUGUUAGGUGUGGAAUCUGAGAGCAGCCAGUCUAUGCCAAAUCUGUUGGGAAGUACACGGGGCAGACCAGAGCUGGUUGAAGUCUUAAAAGCAUGAGAAAACACAUUACUGCUGAGCAGCCUUACAUGUCAACCUCUAAGUAUUCCUUUUGUGUAUACCUUUUAAAGAAUCUACUGUUCCCAUAUCAGAACUCCAAAAAGAAUAGAUUCUGUUCUUGUCCUGUAUGAAAAAUGAACUAUCAAAGAUUUAAA